Molecule: ribosomal RNA, 957 nt
Filed under: Staphylococcus warneri
Lineage: Bacteria; Bacillati; Bacillota; Bacilli; Caryophanales; Staphylococcaceae
Description: bacterial SSU rRNA
Rfam family: Bacterial small subunit ribosomal RNA
Source: RNAcentral
UAAUACAUGCAAGUCGAGCGAACAGAUAAGGAGCUUGCUCCUUUGACGUUAGCGGCGGACGGGUGAGUAACACGUGGAUAACCUACCUAUAAGACUGGGAUAACUUCGGGAAACCGGAGCUAAUACCGGAUAACAUAUUGAACCGCAUGGUUCAAUAGUGAAAGGCGGCUUUGCUGUCACUUAUAGAUGGAUCCGCGCCGUAUUAGCUAGUUGGUAAGGUAACGGCUUACCAAGGCAACGAUACGUAGCCGACCUGAGAGGGUGAUCGGCCACACUGGAACUGAGACACGGUCCAGACUCCUACGGGAGGCAGCAGUAGGGAAUCUUCCGCAAUGGGCGAAAGCCUGACGGAGCAACGCCGCGUGAGUGAUGAAGGUCUUCGGAUCGUAAAACUCUGUUAUCAGGGAAGAACAAAUGUGUAAGUAACUGUGCACAUCUUGACGGUACCUGAUCAGAAAGCCACGGCUAACUACGUGCCAGCAGCCGCGGUAAUACGUAGGUGGCAAGCGUUAUCCGGAAUUAUUGGGCGUAAAGCGCGCGUAGGCGGUUUUUUAAGUCUGAUGUGAAAGCCCACGGCUCAACCGUGGAGGGUCAUUGGAAACUGGAAAACUUGAGUGCAGAAGAGGAAAGUGGAAUUCCAUGUGUAGCGGUGAAAUGCGCAGAGAUAUGGAGGAACACCAGUGGCGAAGGCGACUUUCUGGUCUGUAACUGACGCUGAUGUGCGAAAGCGUGGGGAUCAAACAGGAUUAGAUACCCUGGUAGUCCACGCCGUAAACGAUGAGUGCUAAGUGUUAGGGGGUUUCCGCCCCUUAGUGCUGCAGCUAACGCAUUAAGCACUCCGCCCUGGGGGAGUACGACCGCAAGGUUGAAACUCAAAGGAAUUGACGGGGACCCGCACAAGCGGUGGGAGCAUGUGGUUUAAUUUCGAAGCAACGCGAAGAACCUUACCAAAUCUUG